RNAcentral lists this ribosomal RNA (465 nucleotides) under uncultured bacterium. RNAcentral's name for it is "partial 16S ribosomal RNA". It matches the Rfam family "Bacterial small subunit ribosomal RNA", at positions 338 to 795 of the family's 1533-position model. The record is from RNAcentral.
CCUACGGGAGGCAUCAGUAGGGAAUUUUCGUCAAUGGGCGCAAGCCUGAACGAGCAAUGCCGCGUGAACGAGGAAGGUCUUCGGAUCGUAAAGUUCUGUUGAAGGGGAAAAAGAGCGGAGAGAGGAAAUGAUCUCUGAUUGAUAUUACCCUUCGAGGAAGUCACGGCUAAAUACGUGCCAGCAGCCGCGGUAAUACGUAGGGUGCAAGCGUUAUCCGGAUUUACUGGGUGUAAAGGGAGCGCAGGCGGCACGGCAAGCCUGAUGUGAAAGCCCGCGGCCCAACCGCGGGACUGCAUUUGGAACUACCGGGCUGGAGUGCCGGAGAGGUAGGCGGAAUUCCUAGUGUAGCGGUGAAAUGCGUAGAUAUUAGGAGGAACACCAGUGGCGAAGGCGGCCUACUGGACGGUGACUGACGCUGAGGCUCGAAAGCGUGGGGAGCAAACAGGAUUAGAUACCCCAGUAGUC